GGUCCUGGUCCAGGUCCCGGUCCCGGUCCCGGUCCUGGCUCUGGUCCUGGCUCUUGUCCUGGUCCUGGUCCCGGUC
RNAcentral lists this microRNA precursor (76 nucleotides) under Poecilia formosa (Amazon molly). Its description in RNAcentral is "miRNA (ENSPFOG00000021007.1)". Lineage: Eukaryota; Metazoa; Chordata; Actinopteri; Cyprinodontiformes; Poeciliidae. The record is from RNAcentral.